Molecule: ribosomal RNA, 348 nt
Filed under: Clostridioides difficile
Lineage: Bacteria; Bacillati; Bacillota; Clostridia; Peptostreptococcales; Peptostreptococcaceae
Description: bacterial LSU rRNA
Rfam family: Bacterial large subunit ribosomal RNA
Source: RNAcentral
GGAGCCGUAGCGAAAGCGAGUUUUAACUGAGCGUUCAGUUACUUGACGUAGACCCGAAACCGGGCGACCUACCCAUGAGCAGGAUGAAGCGAAAGUAAAAUUUCGUGGAGGUCCGAACCCACGAGCGUUGAAAAGCUCGGGGAUGACUUGUGGGUAGCGGUGAAAUUCCAAUCGAGCCCGGAGAUAGCUGGUUCUCCCCGAAAUAGCUUUAGGGCUAGCCUCAAGGUGAGAGAUACGGAGGUAGAGCACUGAAUGUCCUAGGGGGUAUUGCACCUACCGAAGACUAUCAAACUCCGAAUGCCGUCAUCUUAUACUUGGGAGUCAGACUGUGGGUGAUAAGAUUCAUAG